AUACCAGCCCCGCGAGUGGUCGGGACGGUUAUUGGGCCUAAAGCGCCCGUAGCCGGCCCGGUAAGUUCCCGCCGAAAUCCCCGGGCUCAACCCGGGGGCCUGCGGGAAUACUGCCGGGCUAGGGGGCGGGAGAGGCCGGGGGUACUCCCGGGGUAGGGGCGAAAUCCUAUAAUCCCGGGAGGACCACCAGUGGCGAAGGCGCCCGGCUGGAACGCGCCUGACGGUGAGGGGCGAAAGCCGGGGGAGCGAACCGGAUUAGAUACCCGAGUAGUCC
Molecule: ribosomal RNA, 274 nt
Filed under: uncultured bacterium
Lineage: Bacteria
Description: partial 16S ribosomal RNA
Rfam family: Archaeal small subunit ribosomal RNA
Source: RNAcentral